UGCCAGCCGCCGCGGUAAUACGGAGGGGGCUAGCGUUGUCCGGAAUUACUGGGCGUAAAGCGCUCGUAGGCGGAUUGAUCAGUCAGAGGUGAAAGCCCGGGGCUCAACCCCGGAAUUGCCUUUGAUACUGUCAGUCUUGAGUUCGAGAGAGGUGAGUGGAAUUCCUAGUGUAGAGGUGAAAUUCGUAGAUAUUAGGAAGAACAUCAGUGGCGAAGGCGGCUCACUGGACUGAUACUGACACUGAGGUGCGAAAGCGUGGGGAGCAAACAGGAUUAGAUA
This 279-nucleotide ribosomal RNA is filed under the name uncultured bacterium. RNAcentral describes it as "partial 16S ribosomal RNA". It matches the Rfam family "Bacterial small subunit ribosomal RNA", at positions 506 to 784 of the family's 1533-position model. The record is from RNAcentral.